UUUUCACACCGUACAUUCCAGCCUCCAUCGUCGUUCCAUACAUUCCAAACAAUCAGAACCCUAAUCUUCUAGCCUCCAUCGUCGUUCUUCACAUUUUGUGCAGAUCGAAGAGUUUCACAAUCACGAAACCCUAGCCCUCAUCAUCUUCCCUGUUUUGAUUCAAAUGUAAACCCUAUAUCGCUCAUCCUCCUCUGCUGAUUCUCUCAUUCAUCGUCCUCAUACUCUCUAUCAUCUAAAGUUCCUAUUAUUGUGUCCCAGUUAUAAAGAUCCGGUUUCAAGCUACGAAGCUUUUCAUUAAUAUUCAGUCUCAAAUCUGGAGGCUUAUUUGAAAGAUUGAAUGCUGGUAUCUGAAUAGAUCUUCAUGUGGCUGAAGAAGAUCGUUUGAUUUGUAGAUGAAGAAGAUCAGUAAAAUGAGGCUUGCUGGAUACAUUGAAACUAUGAGCGAGUGAAGGUUAGUUUGGAUGCAAUGUUCGGGCUGCGGAUAAAAAGAAUUUGUAUGGGUGCACAAAGGAAGGAUGAGGCCGAGAGCGAAGCUAUUUCGGGGAUCGGGAGUUGAAUGGUUCGAGAACCAAGAAUCGUGGUUCAAACCACCAGUGAUAUUGAUGUUCUUAGUGGGUUUAGAAAUUAGGGGUUUAGACAUUCUUUAGAAGAAAUUUUGUAAUUUUAAAUUAGCCAUAUUUUGGUGGGUUUAAAAAAUUAAGGUUUCGACCGUUUUUUUAGAAGAAGUUUGGUAAUUUGUUUUGCUGUAUUGUAUAUGUCUACGUUUACUAUUUGAUUGCCAUAAUUUCCUUUAAAUUUUCUACUUAGGGGGUGUUAGGGAUUUGCUCAUGUUAUGUUCUUAGACUUUCUAAACUAAGAAGUUUUCAAGAGUGUUUGGGUUUGAUUAUUUGCCUUUGUCCGAAUUGCUGAGUGUUAUGUUGAGCCAAGGGUCUCACUGGUAGCAACCUCUCUAUUCCUACGGGGUAGAGGUAAGGUUGUCUACAUAUUAGUCUUGCUAUUGGUGGGAUUUACUGAGUAUGAUGAUGAUGAUCUGUUGGUUUAGACUUUUAAGCUAAUGAACCAUUAAAGUUUUGGAAGUGGUCAGUUAUUUGAGUUGGCAUACUUUUAGUUUGAUUUGGAAUAAAUGCCUACAUCAAGUGAGUGAUGAUGUUUUAAGUGUAUGAUUUUUGUUCUAUGUUGGUUUUAGAAUAACUUGCUUUAUGUUCAUUAGAAUUUGCAAGUGGAGAAUUAUAAUGAUAUAUCCAGUGAUGUGAUGAUGUUAAAGGUAUCAUUUUUUGUGUAUGUUUGCUUUACAACCGGCUCCUUUAUGUUCCUUUGAUUUUAGUACAUAGCAGAAUCACUUAUAGAUUUGACUUUAAAAUUGACCAACUAUUGGAGGUGGAUUUCUCAAAAUUUGACACUGCCUUUAUUGUAUAUACCAAAGAUGAUGUCUUUAAAUGUGUGAUUGAGAUUUUCGGAUCUAGAGCAUAGGUUGUUUCGUUUGUUUUGUUGUAUAUAAUGACAAUUAAGAAAAAAAAAAUCAAGAUUUUUUUUACCCGGAUGGCAAUUUUUGUUGGUUUUAGGAAUUCUAAUAAUUUAUAGGAACGCAAUUUUGACGCAUUUAUGGAUAAAAUAGGACAACUGUAAUCUAAAACUUUACAAAUAUAAUGCAUAAUUCUUUCUAGAAAUAUUAUUUACCGACUUAUAAGUAAUAUACUUGACAUCGUCUAAUCCGCGUAGUAUACGGAUAGUUAAACUCGAAAGUUUUAACGACUUGUGAUUUUUUUGGAUUGAUUUUUUUCAGUUCUUUAUAAUUUAUUCUUUUCAUCAGUAAUGGAACAAACGGUUCCUUCCUUUCAAAGUUUACGUGAACGCAAAAUCAGGCAGCCUCUUUGAGAAAUGUCUGUAUGUUUUAUCAUACAUUGAAGGUUACAGAAUCAGGCCACCACUUUGACAAAUGUUGGCACUUCUCGACCACUAUAUCAGGAUCUACUGCCUCCAAAGUUGCACUGUGGAUAGCAGACCGGCGGCCACGGGUCAAUAGCGGUGGCAACCGUUUUAGAGGAGAUAUUUGGUAAUUUAGGAUGUAAUUUUCACUUUCAGUUUGAUGUAUUUGAAGUUUCCUUUAAGUUGUUUUGGUUUGAAAUAAAUUUUCGUAAAUUGCAUUGAAUAAUUUAUUGUGUCUUAUAUUGACUACUUUAUUAUGCUAAAGUUGGUAUGCUAAGUAAUUAUACCAACUGU
This 2220-nucleotide long non-coding RNA is filed under the name Helianthus annuus (common sunflower). RNAcentral's name for it is "hypothetical non coding rna". The record is from RNAcentral. Lineage: Eukaryota; Viridiplantae; Streptophyta; Magnoliopsida; Asterales; Asteraceae.